GGAAAAUCCAACACUGAGGUGCAGAUAAAAGGACUGGAGCUGCUGACGGCCAUAUUGGACAGGCAGCCUGCAGCGGUGCGUCUCUUCCCGACCGGCUCUGAGUUUUCUGCCGUGUGUGAUGUCAUCGUGGAGGGCGUGGCCUCAUCCUGUCUGCAGGUGUCCAUGUGUGCGGUGCGAGCCGCUGCUGUCCUGCUCAGGUCACACACACGCACACACACACACACACACACACACACACACACACACACACACGAUUCGAGUGGAUGUUCCUGGUUACUGUAGUGGAGCAGCAAGGUAAAUCGUGCGUGCGUGCGUGUGUGUGUGUUUGCACAGGCCCAAUCAUCAGUCCAGUCCGGUUCAGCUCGCAGACGUCAGGAGGAUCGUGGAGGUCGUGAUGUUCAAAAUCACAGAGCACCAUCACACACGCAACAGAGAGAGCUGCUCUGGUUCAAAGUCAGUGACAGCAGGAGUUUUACUGCAGAUGCUCACAUGCUUCGACGCCGCCUGCAGGUUGGUGGAGGCGUGUGUGUGUGACUCGACUCUGAAGGACGGUGUGUGUUCAGUGCAGGAGACGCUGGAGUCUGUGUGUGUGUUUCUGCUGCACUGCUGCGACGCUGCCUGCAUCCCUGCAGUU
RNAcentral lists this long non-coding RNA (634 nucleotides) under Sinocyclocheilus anshuiensis. RNAcentral's name for it is "lncRNA (ENSSANG00000024583.1)". The record is from RNAcentral. Lineage: Eukaryota; Metazoa; Chordata; Actinopteri; Cypriniformes; Cyprinidae.